AUUGAACGCUGGCGGCAGGCCUAACACAUGCAAGUCGAACGAGUGGCGGACGGGUGUGUAAUGUCUGGGAAACUGCCCGAUGGAGGGGGAUAACUACUGGAAACGGUAGCUAAUACCGCAUACCAUCGGAUGUUCCCAGCUGGGAUUAGCUAGUAGGUGGGGUAACGGCUCACCUAGGCGACGAUCCCUAGCUGGUCUGCGGGGAUGACCAGACAAACUGGAACUGAGACACGGUCCAGCAUCCUACGGGAGGAAGCAGUGGGGAAGAUGGCACAAUGGGCGCAAGCCUGAUGCAGCCAUGCCGCGUGUAUGAAGAAGGCCUUCGGGUUGUAAAGUACUUUCAGCGAGGAGGCGUUACUCGCAGAAGAAGCACCGGCUAACUCCGUGCCAGCAGCCGCGGUAAUAC
This 406-nucleotide ribosomal RNA is filed under the name uncultured bacterium. Its description in RNAcentral is "partial 16S ribosomal RNA". It matches the Rfam family "Bacterial small subunit ribosomal RNA", at positions 30 to 526 of the family's 1533-position model. The record is from RNAcentral.